GUGAGGAAUAUUGGUCAAUGGGCGGGAGCCUGAACCAGCCAAGUCGCGUGAAGGAAGAAGGAUCUAUGGUUCGUAAACUUCUUUUGCAGGGGAAUAAAGUGCAGGACGUGUCCUGUUUUGUAUGUACCCUGAGAAUAAGGAUCGGCUAACUCCGUGCCAGCAGCCGCGGUAAUACGGAGGAUCCGAGCGUUAUCCGGAUUUAUUGGGUUUAACGGGUGCGUAGGUGGUUUGAUAAGUCAGCGGUGAAAGUUUGCAGCUUAACUGUAAAAAUGCCGUUGAAACUGUCGGACUUGAGUGUAAAUGAGGUAGGCGGAAUGCGUGGUGUAGCGGUGAAAUGCAUAGAUAUCACGCAGAACUCCGAUUGCGAAGGCAGCUUACUAAGCUACAACUGACACUGAAGCACGAAAGCGUGGGGAUCAAACAGGAUUAGAAACCCGUGUAGUCC
This 445-nucleotide ribosomal RNA is filed under the name uncultured bacterium. RNAcentral describes it as "partial 16S ribosomal RNA". It matches the Rfam family "Bacterial small subunit ribosomal RNA", at positions 354 to 796 of the family's 1533-position model. The record is from RNAcentral.